AGAACUCCCCCACCCAGGCGUGUCAUGAAGGACCUGCACGAUCUAGAGAGAGAGGUCCAGCGAUAUAAGAGAGAGCCCCUAGAUCAUGAAGCCUAUCAAGCGGGUCUGAAUAGCAUUCAUACUGAUGCAGUCGCAGAGCAUAAUCAGUCAACACCGUCACAACAAUAACCGCCACAAUUAAGCCAACAACAGCCACUUCAUUAACCGCCACAAUCUUGCCAGCAACAGCUACCAUCACAUCCUGAGAAUACGCCAUCUCACGCACCAACUCACCAAAUUUCCGUAACCUCAGAAAUGUCCGUCCACAAUUCCACAGCCAACAACUCAACGUCCAUUCCACACAUAAAGAUAUACCCAUUGCCUACCUUUACGGGAUUGCCAGAAGAAUGGCUCACGUUUCAUGAGUCUUUUGAAAUCACAACUAUGGAGUUUGGUUACUCCAACCUGCACAACAUAAUGAGAUUGAGGGAUGCACUGAAAGGUUCUGCCAAAGAAGCCGUAGAGUCUCUGCUUGGUAAUUCUGCCAAUGUCGACGCCAUUUUGAAUUCACUCCAGGAGAAGAUAUAUCCAUUGCCUACCAUUACGGGAUUGUCAGAAGAAUGGCUCACGUUUCAUGAGUCUUUUGAAAUCACAACUAUGGAGUUUGGUUACUCCAACCUGCACAACAUAAUUAGAUUGAGGGAUGCUUUUUGGUGCUGCACAUCUUCACGGGACGCGAAGGCUGCAUCAAUGUCCUCAAGUAAUAUUAUAGACUGUUCCGGAGCAACAUUUAAUAAAUGGUUCAAUCUAUCGUCAGUUAAUCCUCUCUCUGACAAGUUAAGUAAA
Musca domestica (house fly) is the source of this 825-nucleotide long non-coding RNA. RefSeq lists it as uncharacterized. The transcript is spliced from 2 exons. The record is from RefSeq and is a predicted model, not a curated record. NCBI's taxonomy places the organism in Eukaryota, Metazoa, Arthropoda, Insecta, Diptera, Muscidae.